RNAcentral lists this ribosomal RNA (140 nucleotides) under uncultured bacterium. Its description in RNAcentral is "partial 16S rRNA". It matches the Rfam family "Bacterial small subunit ribosomal RNA", at positions 355 to 507 of the family's 1533-position model. The record is from RNAcentral.
UGGGGAAUAUUGCACAAUGGGCGCAAGCCUGAUGCAGCGACGCCGCGUGAGGGAUGACGGCCUUCGGGUUGUAAACCUCUUUCAGCAGGGAAGAAGCGUGAGUGACGGUACCUGCAGAAGAAGCACCGGCUAACUACGUG